UUGGGCAAUGCCUUAUUGUAAAAAGCUCUAGAUUUGCAAAAAAUGAGAAGAGCCCGUGUACUGUUAUAUCAACAGAAACAGCUAUUUGAAAGCUGCUGGAUGAAGACUGUUAGCCACACUGACUUAUUUUAAAGCAAAGAUUUCACUUUUUUUUCUUUUCAGAUAGUGAAUCAGAAUGCUUCCUACUUACCAGUGCCACUGGAAGAAAAGUGAGAUUCAUAGCUUCUGCCAGCCAUUACUAUAUAGGUGAAGAGGCCAGGACAUGCCUUAUACUGGAGCUUCACAAGGCCUGAAACUACUAUUGCCAAAAUGGACCAGAACCUGAAUUUUAGAUUCCUACUAAG
This is a long non-coding RNA of Dermochelys coriacea (leatherback sea turtle), 344 nucleotides long. RefSeq lists it as uncharacterized. The record is from RefSeq and is a predicted model, not a curated record. NCBI's taxonomy places the organism in Eukaryota, Metazoa, Chordata, Testudines, Dermochelyidae. The transcript has 3 exons.